GGGUUGUGAGGUUAAGCGACUAAGCGUACACGGUGGAUGCCCUGGCAGUCAGAGGCGAUGAAGGGCGUGCUAAUCUGCGAUAAGCGCCGGUAAGGUGAUAUGAACCGUUAUAACCGGCGAUACCCGAAUGGGGAAACCCAGUGUGAUUCGUCACACUAUCAUUAACUGAAUCCAUAGGUUAAUGAGGCGAACCGGGGGAACUGAAACAUCUAAGUACCCCGAGGAAAAGAAAUCAACCGAGAUUCCCCCAGUAGCGGCGAGCGAACGGGGAGGAGCCCAGAGCCUGAAUCAGCAUGUGUGUUAGUGGAAGCGUCUGGAAAGGCGCGCGAUACAGGGUGACAGCCCCGUACACAAAAGCGCAUGUGCUGUGAGCUCGAUGAGUAGGGCGGGACACGUGGUAUCCUGUCUGAAUAUGGGGGGACCAUCCUCCAAGGCUAAAUACUCCUGACUGACCGAUAGUGAACCAGUACCGUGAGGGAAAGGCGAAAAGAACCCCGGCGAGGGGAGUGAAAAAGAACCUGAAACCGUGUACGUACAAGCAGUGGGAGCACAGGUUUACCUGUGUGACUGCGUACCUUUUGUAUAAUGGGUCAGCGACUUAUAUUCUGUAGCAAGGUUAACCGAAUAGGGGAGCCGGAGGGAAACCGAGUCUUAACCGGGCGUUAAGUUGCAGGGUAUAGACCCGAAACCCGGUGAUCUAGCCAUGGGCAGGUUGAAGGUUGGGUAACACUAACUGGAGGACCGAACCGACUAAUGUUGAAAAAUUAGCGGAUGACCUGUGGCUGGGGGUGAAAGGCCAAUCAAACCGGGAGAUAGCUGGUUCUCCCCGAAAGCUAUUUAGGUAGCGCCUCGUGAAUUCAUCUCCGGGGGUAGAGCACUGUUUCGGCUAGGGGGCCAUCCCGGCUUACCAACCCGAUGCAAACUGCGAAUACCGGAGAAUGUUAUCACGGGAGACACACGGCGGGUGCUAACGUCCGUCGUGAAGAGGGAAACAACCCAGACCGCCAGCUAAGGUCCCAAAGUCAUGGUUAAGUGGGAAACGAUGUGGGAAGGCCCAGACAGCCAGGAUGUUGGCUUAGAAGCAGCCAUCAUUUAAAGAAAGCGUAAUAGCUCACUGGUCGAGUCGGCCUGCGCGGAAGAUGUAACGGGGCUAAACCAUGCACCGAAGCUGCGGCAGCGACGCUUAUGCGUUGUUGGGUAGGGGAGCGUUCUGUAAGCCUGUGAAGGUGUGUCGUGAGGCAUGCUGGAGGUAUCAGAAGUGCGAAUGCUGACAUAAGUAACGAUAAAGCGGGUGAAAAGCCCGCUCGCCGGAAGACCAAGGGUUCCUGUCCAACGUUAAUCGGGGCAGGGUGAGUCGACCCCUAAGGCGAGGCCGAAAGGCGUAGUCGAUGGGAAACGGGUUAAUAUUCCCGUACUUGGUGUUACUGCGAAGGGGGGACGGAGAAGGCUAUGUUGGCCGGGCGACGGUUGUCCCGGUUUAAGCGUGUAGGUGUGUGUUCCAGGUAAAUCCGGUUCACUUUAACACUGAGGCGUGAUGACGAGGCACUACGGUGCUGAAGUAACAAAUGCCCUGCUUCCAGGAAAAGCCUCUAAGCAUCAGGUAACAUCAAAUCGUACCCCAAACCGACACAGGUGGUCAGGUAGAGAAUACCAAGGCGCUUGAGAGAACUCGGGUGAAGGAACUAGGCAAAAUGGUGCCGUAACUUCGGGAGAAGGCACGCUGACACGUAGGUGAAGUGAUUUACUCACGGAGCUGAAGUCAGUCGAAGAUACCAGCUGGCUGCAACUGUUUAUUAAAAACACAGCACUGUGCAAACACGAAAGUGGACGUAUACGGUGUGACGCCUGCCCGGUGCCGGAAGGUUAAUUGAUGGGGUCAGCGCAAGCGAAGCUCCUGAUCGAAGCCCCGGUAAACGGCGGCCGUAACUAUAACGGUCCUAAGGUAGCGAAAUUCCUUGUCGGGUAAGUUCCGACCUGCACGAAUGGCGUAAUGAUGGCCAGGCUGUCUCCACCCGAGACUCAGUGAAAUUGAACUCGCUGUGAAGAUGCAGUGUACCCGCGGCAAGACGGAAAGACCCCGUGAACCUUUACUAUAGCUUGACACUGAACAUUGAGCCUUGAUGUGUAGGAUAGGUGGGAGGCUUUGAAGCGUGGACGCCAGUCUGCGUGGAGCCGACCUUGAAAUACCACCCUUUAAUGUUUGAUGUUCUAACGUGGACCCGUGAUCCGGGUUGCGGACAGUGUCUGGUGGGUAGUUUGACUGGGGCGGUCUCCUCCUAAAGAGUAACGGAGGAGCACGAAGGUUGGCUAAUCCUGGUCGGACAUCAGGAGGUUAGUGCAAUGGCAUAAGCCAGCUUGACUGCGAGCGUGACGGCGCGAGCAGGUGCGAAAGCAGGUCAUAGUGAUCCGGUGGUUCUGAAUGGAAGGGCCAUCGCUCAACGGAUAAAAGGUACUCCGGGGAUAACAGGCUGAUACCGCCCAAGAGUUCAUAUCGACGGCGGUGUUUGGCACCUCGAUGUCGGCUCAUCACAUCCUGGGGCUGAAGUAGGUCCCAAGGGUAUGGCUGUUCGCCAUUUAAAGUGGUACGCGAGCUGGGUUUAGAACGUCGUGAGACAGUUCGGUCCCUAUCUGCCGUGGGCGCUGGAGAACUGAGGGGGGCUGCUCCUAGUACGAGAGGACCGGAGUGGACGCAUCACUGGUGUUCGGGUUGUCAUGCCAAUGGCACUGCCCGGUAGCUAAAUGCGGAAGAGAUAAGUGCUGAAAGCAUCUAAGCACGAAACUUGCCCCGAGAUGAGUUCUCCCUGAGACUUAGAGUCUCCUGAAGGAACGUUGAAGACGACGACGUUGAUAGGCCGGGUGUGUAAGCGCAGCGAUGCGUUGAGCUAACCGGUACUAAUGAACCGUGAGGCUUAACCUUACAACGCCGAAG
RNAcentral lists this ribosomal RNA (2929 nucleotides) under Salmonella enterica subsp. enterica serovar Dublin str. ATCC 39184. RNAcentral's name for it is "bacterial LSU rRNA". It matches the Rfam family "Bacterial large subunit ribosomal RNA". The record is from RNAcentral. Lineage: Bacteria; Pseudomonadati; Pseudomonadota; Gammaproteobacteria; Enterobacterales; Enterobacteriaceae.